GACGAACGCUGGCGGCGUGCUUAACACAUGCAAGUCGAACGGAAAGGCCCUGCUUUUGCGGGGUGCUCGUGUGGCGCACGGGUGAGUAAAACGCGUGUAACAUGUCCUUGUCUUUGGGAUAACACUAGGAAAAAGGGGAUCUUAUCGGAUAUGAGAUCCUGCUGCAUGGUGGGGGUUGGAGAGAUUCGGCUGUUGGGGCUCGUAUAGCGGGUUAUGCGCUUGUUGGUGGGGUUGUGGAUUACCAAGGUUUCGAAGGGUAGCCGGCCUGAGCGGGUGACCGGCCUCAUUGGGACUGCGAGACGGCCCAGACUCCUACGGGAGGCAGCAGUGGGGAAUAUUGCGGAAUGGGCGGAAGCCUGAGGCAGCAACGCCGCGUGCGGGAUGACGUCCUUCGGGGUGAGAACCGCUUUGGCCGGUGACGAAGCGAGAGUGACGGUAAUUGGUAAAGAAGCACCGGCUAACUACGUG
This 468-nucleotide ribosomal RNA is filed under the name uncultured bacterium. Its description in RNAcentral is "partial 16S ribosomal RNA". It matches the Rfam family "Bacterial small subunit ribosomal RNA", at positions 28 to 507 of the family's 1533-position model. The record is from RNAcentral.